Long non-coding RNA from Bombus huntii, 7883 nucleotides. RefSeq lists it as uncharacterized. Lineage: Eukaryota; Metazoa; Arthropoda; Insecta; Hymenoptera; Apidae. The record is from RefSeq and is a predicted model, not a curated record. The transcript is spliced from 4 exons.
UGUAACCCAUCCUGACAGCAUCCUGAAGCAGGAGCUCCACGGAAAUUAUUUAUUCAUACUCGAUCUUCCGCGACUAACCACGCUUGCCGCAACCCUCGUGGUGAAACGUGCAGGGGUCGGAGGUUUAUCGAAACAGUUUCCAGUUGCUGCUCAAUAAUAUCGAACAUCGAACAGAAGCCACGAUAACGUGAAAAUUAGCACCUCGUCGUAGGAGCUUAAACUUAACGCGUUCUUUGGAUUCUUUUAGAUCCAAUUGUUAAUCAAUUUAUUAAAUUGGAGAAAAUUCAUACUACUUGAAAGAUAAACAAUUUCGUUGACACGAAAGUGAAAUUAAAAGAUAAAAAUUCGGGUAUCGUAAAAUAAAAUAGUAACUUUGAAAUUAUUAUCGAUCAAUGUUUUAAAUCAGAAAAAUUCGACCUUGAAUGUGAAGCACUUGACUCGUUACUACUCUCAUUUUCCAAUUUAACGUAACGUAAUUGAACGAGAUUGUUAUCGAUGAAUCUACAUUUUAUCGGCAUGUACAGCGAUUUGGUAUACAAAAUGGGUACUAUUUGCAUGCGACAAACACGAGGAUACGUAUAAUCAGUCGGACGUUUCAUGAUGUUAUGUUAAACAAUUUUCUGGCAAAGCCAGUGCAUUUAGUCUAAGAUAUAUAUUGACAAAUGCGUGGAUAUUUCCGGUAAAUAUCGCAUUUUCCACGAGGCUAAACAACCAGCAUAUGCACGUUGCAAUUUCGUCGAUGUAUAUACCAACGACUGAAUCUGUUAGGCAAGGUCUCACCAACAAAUCCGUAUAUUUAUUUGUUGUGUCUGAUGCAAAACCCAUACGUUUUGCGUCCACCUUUUUUGAUCCGAUAAAUUAUAAGCUUGCGUUGCAGCGGAUUCCUGUCAGCUCCGUGACACGUUUGCCAAACCGGUGAUUGGUCAACGGGUAUCGGUUGGAAAUUACUCGUCACACUCGACGUCUGACCUUUUUCUCUCAUACCCACUAGAUCCAUCAAAGAAAUCAUAUGAAUUUUAAUUUCUUCUCGAAUUUCAUAUCCAUUGGCGCACAAAUUUUUCCUCCAUCUAGCAGUGAAACUGAUUAAAUUAAAAAAAAAAAACAAUUAAAAAUGAAAGUAGAUUUUAUCUAUUCUUCGUAAAAUAUUACAUUUAUGAUAAAAUAAUUGAACUGUUGAACAACCAGAGUAUCAGAUAUGUUCAUUUACAAUGUCAAUAUAUUUGCCCAAAAAGUAUCUUUCUUUUACAGACACAUCUUUUAUAACGAUGUAUCUUUAUAGAAACGUGAAACAUAAUCUGUCGAACAUUGUAACUAUUUUGAUAGAACUAUUGAGAUAUGUAUAAUUUUAUAUGCUAGACUAGGUUAGCUGCGUAGUAGCGAUACUUGUAUGUGAAUAUCAGUGUGUGGAAGUAUGUGUGUGCGUGGCGUCUCGAAAACAAAGGAAGGUAAACUGUUCAGUUAACGGUCUGGUAUCGAAUAGGUAUGACGCGUGCAAUUCUCGUGUGUUUCAAGAAAUCUCACUGGGUAAUUGAAAAAAACAGUGGAGAAGAAUCGUUAGAACAAACAUCGUUGCUCAAAGUAGAGGCAUUUCUCGCGAAGAAAAUGUGCAGUUUCAGGGGUGAGACAGAUAAUCAUCCUCCGUGUCAGACGUGGGCUGUCCACCGCGACAAUGUAUGUAUACAUUGAUUAAUGGUCGCCUGUUCGCCGCGGGAUAAAAGUCAGGGAAAAGAGAGGAAGAAAGGAUAAGAAAAUCGGAGAUCGAGCGCCUCUUAAAAAUCAGGACACUCUGGUUGCGCGCGACCAAUUCUUGCAUUUUUGAAACUUGUUAGUCACAGGAUAGUUCCGCGCUGUCGUCCAUUGUUCCGCUUACCAAUCGUAGCGAUCAUCGUUUGUUAUCUUGAACGACAUUGAUAAAAAAAAAAAAAAAAUGCGAGCACAGGCAAAUGUUAUCGUCUGUUGAUUGUCGAGUGAUUUAGAGUGGAAUGCUUCUUGGAAUUUUCUGCGGUAAGAGAAACGUCUCGCCUGUCAGACGAACGGAUUCAUCGUGGGCUGUUUGAAACAAUAGGAUCUUCUGUUCGUGUGACAAAUUUCAUGUCACCACGAUUAAGACGUUUGCAACUUUCAUUCAUACCUAUCGUCGUUUAAUAUUAGGUUGUCCGAAAAGUUUCUUUCGUUUUGUAAGAUGAUAAUAAACGCAGUUUUGUUUUAUAUCAAUUUAUUGAAUUAUGCGUAGAAACUAAUAAUAGAAAUAGAACGAAAUGGAUUAUGCGUAAUUUAAUGAAAUAAUUAAUUUAUUAGUAUAGUUAUAAAUAAAGCAGAAUCAAAGUAUUCCUUCCAUACUUGCAGUAUAAUAGAUGAACAACAAUUUCUCUUUUAUAUUUUGUUAUAAAAUAACGAUGAAGAAGUUUCCUUAUUUAUUUUUAUUGAUUAAUUGAUUCAUCUUUUUCUAUCAGUUUCUUUUGUUUUAUAAGAAAAUAAUAGACGCACAAUGUUUUUUAUUAUGCACAAACGUAAUAAUAGAAAUAUAAUAAAAUGGAUGAUGCGUAAUUCAAUAAAAAAUAUAAAAGAGAAAUUGUUGUUCAUUUAUUAUAUUCUAAGUGUGGGAGAAAUACUUUGAUUCUGCAUACUUUAUUUAUAAUUACACUAAUAAAUUAAUUAUUUUGUUAUAAAGCAACGAUGAAAGAGUUACCUUAAUUAUCUUUAUUGAUUGAUUGAUUUAUCUUUUUUCUAUCAGUUUCUUUCGUUCUAUAAGAAAAUAAUAGACGCACUAUGUAUUUUAUUAUUAAUAUUAUUAUUAAAUCGUUAAUCUAUUAUUAUAAAACUAAAGAAAAUACAGUAAACAUUUGUGUAAAAUAUUAGAAGAACAGCUGAUAGGAUUAGGAAAGAAAAACUUCUAAUAAAAAAAUUAAUCAAUCAAUCAAUAAAAAUAAAUAAGGAAACUGUUUUAAUAAAUUGCCAUUCGACUGUAUGCUGUAGCUGUUCAAUAAGAAAUUCACACCAAUGUGAAAAAUUGCAUGUUCCACGCAGGAAAAUUGUACUAAGAAAACUGACUAUUUCUAAUUUUCUUUUCGCUACAUUUUUUAUCUUACCGCGACCUGUAACAAAGAGGUUACGAGAGGAUUACGGAACACCCAGUAUAUCACAGCCGCGCUGCCAACGUUGCAAAGAAAAACAGCCUUUGCCAAUAGCCGUUAACCCGAUAAAGAUGUUUAUAAGCAACUUUCUAUAGACGCAUCGGCCAUUUUUUAACGUCCAGCUCAGUCAAAAGCAGGCGAGAUGAUCUGUGUAAAAUCAUCUAGCGAUAUUUCGCAAGGCAACAGGCUAUUCACCCUAAUUAAACUAAUUAAAUACGCGUUGAACAUGGUAAUAACCUACACGAAAAACGAGUAUUCAAUGUACGACUGGAAAACACAUUCGCGAAAUUAUAAAGCGUCCGUGAAUUUUAUAUGAAAUUAAAUUAGUCGAUUAAAUAAAACGAAAGAAUAAAUUAUUUCGCUUGAUGAUUUGAACGUUUCUUAGCAGCGUGAACUCGAUCAACGUUAAAUAGCAGAAAGGGAAUUAAUCAUCGAAAAGUACGGAAAAGUUUAGGAGCGAUCGACGAACCGGAUCGUGCGAACGUAACGAGCAAAGGCGAUCAUCGCGAUACAAAAGAAACAACGAAAGCGGCUCUUAUUUUACACAUCUUUGCUGAACCGGCAAUUUCCGGCGCAUAGCUUAAAAAACGUAAACGCUAGGAAAUUGCAAGAUAUCGUAAGAAAGAUGCGAUUGGCAAUUUUUUCCUCUCGUUGGUGAUUCAGCGAAAGAUACAAUGUACGCGACAUCGUACAAUUUGCAUUCGAAAUUACAACUAACCACGCAUUAAUUUCUGUCUAGAGGUUACACUAUCAUCGCCUUUUUCAUUUUUCUCUCGUUCGAGCACCGAUUUAACAAAACGAUUCAUAGCGAUUCCUUCGACUCCUCUUUUUUUCGUCCGUUUCGUGUAAUGAAAGGUGAUCUGCCAUAAUGAAUUCUUUGGAAAUGAAAUCGACCGCGAAUAUUCACGGCCAAUGUACGCCAUUAAGGUGUUCGCGGGUCUGUGAAUUCGGCGAAAUACGCUUGUUAACGAAGGCCGAGUCGCGCAAUAAGAUGGAAAAGGCGAGCGACAAGUGUCAGCAACGAUCGAGUGUGAUAGCAAACGACAGGAGGAAAUGGCCACGUUUAUCCGAGAAUCGGGUAGCAUAACUGCAAAUGAUAGAUUACGAUUAACCGUAGGGCCCGGCAGCUCGAUCGAUCAGUCGCAAAUGGCAAUAAUUUUCCUACGACUGCGAGUAACGUCUUCAUGAAAUGAAGCGUUUCGAGCCAACAGGUUCCGAAGCGACGCGGCGCACCGUUUCCAUCAAAGAAGCAUUAAUGAAGAUGAACAAACAUUAUACGUAAUAAACGCUUCUUUGAAUGCCCUAACCUGUCGUAGAGAAAUAAAAUGCAAGGAAAUGCCGACAGCACAUCAUCCAUUCGAGUAAACGCAAAUAGACGCAUCUAUUCUAUGCAACAGAAUAUGCCGCGCAUCGUCCACAGCCAUCUUUUCCCUUCGACCAUAGUAGUGGCAUGGUAACGACUUAAUCUGCUCGCACGCGAUUCGACAAAAUAUACGUUGCUGCUCCCCUCCCCCCCUCCCCCCCCUCCCCCUCCCCUCCCCACUUUCUCGAUCAGCUUCCAAUUCACCUAGCGUCGCUUACGUAACACGCGCAUUCUCCGUGGCCGAUCGACUUUGCUUAAACGGUCGUUGGAAAGUAGCAGCUUUGGCAUCGGAAAGGGCUUGCAAAGAGGUGGAAGAAGAAAAAGGAAGAAAUAAAGAGAGAGAGAGAGAGAGAGAGAGAGAAAAGCGGACUGUUGUGCGCGAGGGGCGCAAUUAGCGAGGCUCGCUCGGGUAGAAAGUGUGGCUCUCGAAGCUCUCGAAAUUGCCCCGUCGGGAAACGAAAUUGCGUUUUGCAGCGCGUAAUACGUUGUACUUUCGAAACGGUCGGGGCCUGGUCCGAGAACGAGGGCCGCGUUCGAAGCUUCGGGCGGUCGCUCGUGAAACGAAAAACAGAGCAACACAGCACGGACCGGAAUACAGAACGACGACGGCGGCGGCGGCCAUGGUAGACCGCGAAGACCAGUUUACAAGAAGAAACGUACGCUGAGUGCGGAAAGUACAACGCAACGCGAAAAACAGUCCCGCGGAAGGCCGAUCCGCCUUCGGUACAGCACACGCCGUCGUUAUCGGGCGUCCUUUAAUUGUGGUUAGGUUACCAUGGCUGGUAUCCUGCUUUACUCUUUCAUAUUUAAAUGUAUUAUUAGCAGAGAUUAUUAUAAGCACCAGCCGGGGGCAUUAAGUAGACCCGAUCGCGAGCCAUUGCUCACCGGUAUCUGGGAUAUUUUAUAUCGAGAGUAAUUUCCGGUUUUGCGCACGCCUUCGCGUACACCGCGCGCGACCGCCUCCCGCUGCCCCCCAGUUUUCCCCCGGAUGCGUGAGCGUUAUCGACCAACCUGCAACGUUCGAUCGUCUUUUUUUUUUGUUUCUUCCUUUAUCAUAACAAGCAAGAAGUAGUAGUAGGUAUAUAGGGUGUAUGGUUAAUGAACUGCGUUGUUUCUUGGUUAUAAAUAAAAUAGUGGAUAUUAGGUUAGGUAGGAUUCUUUUGGUUUAUGAGGAAAUAAUAGAGACGCACAAAGAUUUUUGUUUGAUAUUAUUUUGUCGAAUUACGUGGCAUUCAUUUUCUGUUCUGUUGGGAUAAUAUUUUACAGACUUUUGUACAGCAUUUCCGGACAAGCAUGUAUGGGUUGCAUUGUAAACUGUAGAUUUGGCAAAAGUGUUUAAGUAUUCUUAUGAGCAGAAGCUUUCGUAGAAUUAGGUACUCAAUGACCGUAGGUUGAUUUUAGAAAAUAUUUUAUACCAAAUGACGAAUGGAUUGUCAGUAAAAACGUUGCGAGUAAUUUAGUCUUCUUGUGUGAUGUAAAAGUUCUAGGCAAUAGGAAUAAAGAAUAAAAAAUAAAAGUGGAGAAUAAGAACAGGAGAUAAAAAUAGAUAAAAUUAGGAUAUAAAAGUAGGAAAUUACAGUACAGGACAAGAAUAAAGACCAAAGACAGAAAAGAAGAUUAUUUCUUAUAUUCAUAAUGAAUUUUCCAAAAGCCAAACUGAUCAAUUAUGUUCUUUAUAAAUUCCUCAAUUUCAUUGUGAUUAAUAACAAUAAUAGUAAAAGUAGAGAAUAAGAAUAGGAGAUAAAAAUUGAGGAUAAAAUUAGGAUAUAAAAGUAGAAAAUUAAAGUACAGGACAAGAAUAAAGACUAAAAAUAAUGAAUUGAUAAUGAAUUUUCCAAACGCCAAACUCACCAGCUAUGUUCUUUAUAAAUUCCACAAUUUCAUUGCCCAACUUCGCCACUAAUGUUCAAUUUUCAAUCAUUUGAACAGAGAUCUGUUCCAUCCACUAAAUUGUACAAUGUCUUGAACAAUUUACAUAGUUUUGUAGAUAUUCAUGAAGGCAUAGACACCUGUUGCCAACUGACAAUCUCUUAGGCAAAGAUUGGUUCCAGUUGCUGAAUUUUGUUGUUGAGGUUGACUGAUAGAGAAACAAGUGUAUGAAUUUGUAAUAGAAAAAUAUAUUGAAAUAAGUAUAGGUACAGGUAUAGUGUAUGAGGUCAAAAUUAAGUAAAUUGCUAUCAACAUAUACUAAUUUCAUGUCUGAUGUUGUUAAGGUUGACUGAUAGAGAAACAAAUGUAUGAAUUUAUUAUUGGAAAAAUAUAUUGAAAUAAGUAUAGGUACACAUAUAGUGUAUGAGGGCAAAAUCAAGUAAAUUGUUGUCAUUAUUUACUAAUUUAGUGUGUGAUAUUGUUGAGGUUGACUGAUAGGGAAACAAGUGUAUCAAUUUAUUAUUAGAAAAAUAUAUUGAAAUAAGUAUAGGUACAGGUACAGUGUAUGAGGUCAAAAUCAAGUAAAUUGUCAUAAUUAUUUAUUAAUUUAGUGUCUGAUAUUGUUAAGGUUGACUGAGGUUGAAUUUGUAAUAGAAAAAUAUAUUGAAAUAAGUAAAGGUACAGGUAUAGUGUAUGAGGUCAAAGUCAAGUAAAUUGUUGUCAUUAUUUACUAAUUGAAUGUGUGAUAUUAUUGAGGUUGACUGACAGAGAAACAAGUGUAUGAAUUUAUUAUUAGAAAAAUAUAUUGAAAUAAGUAUAGGUACACUUAUAGUGUAUGAGGUCAAAAUCAAGUAAAUUGUUAUCAUCAUAUACUAAUUUAAUGUUUGAUGUUGUUAAGGUUGAUUGAUAGAGGAACCAAUAGAUGAAUUUGUAAAGAAAAAUAUAUUGAAAUAAGUAUAGGUACACUUAUAGUGUAUGAGGUCAAAAUCAAGUAAAUUGUUGUCAUUAUUUAUUAAUUUAGUGUGUGAUAUUGUUGAGGUUGACUGAUAGGGAAACAAGUGGAUGAAUUCAUUAUUAGAAAAAUAUAUUGAAAUAAGUAUAGGUAUACUUAUAGUGUAUGAGGUCAAAAUCAAGUAAAUUGUUGUCAUUAUUUACUAAUUGAAUGUGUGAUAUUGUUGAGAUUGACUGACAGUCAAGCAAGUGGAUAAAUUUGUAAUAGAAAAAUGUAUUGAAGUAUGUUGAAGUGCAAGUAUAGUGUAUUAGAUCAAAAUCAAAUAAAUUGUUAUCAUCAUUUAAUAAUUUAAUGUGUGAUAUUGUUGAAGUUGACUGAUGGAGGAAUCAGUGGAUGAAUUUGUAAUAGAAAAAUAUAUUGAAAUAAGUAUAAGUACACAUAUAGUGUAUGAGAUCAAAAUCAAGUAAAUUGUUAUCAUCAUUUAUUAAUUUAAUGUGCGAUAUUGUUGAGGUUGACUGAUAGAAAAACGAGUGGAUGAAUUUAUUAUUAGAAAAGUGUAUUGAAA